Molecule: long non-coding RNA, 2271 nt
Organism: Caretta caretta (loggerhead turtle)
Lineage: Eukaryota; Metazoa; Chordata; Testudines; Cheloniidae
Source: RefSeq, a predicted model, not a curated record
GAGGCCAGGCAUAUGCCUGGCUGUCUUAGCAAACCUACGGGCUAAAUUCUGUGUCCUGUGACACCUCCAAACAAUCGCUUCUGCCCAGGUUCAGAAGCCCGCACCCCAAGGCUGGGUGUGAGCCUGAGAGGGGGCCAGAGUGUCCCCACUCCCCGGGAGAGGCGCCUUGGAGAGAGGCAAUGGGUCUAGCUGCGCUGGAGGGCUCGGCCCUGCUGAGUUCACCCCACUUUUCACAGCAGCCAGUGGAUGAAUCAGGUGGAGAUGGGAGGGGUGGGGAGAGAAGAGUGUGGAAAUCGUCCCGGGUGGUGGUGGAGGUCUCUUCGCCCCCCCCCAGCCCCCUAGUAGAAGCUGCUGUGGGAGAAGGGUCCGUGUUCCCCACACCCUGACUUUGGGGUGAGUGUCUCUCAAUGCUUUAGCCUUACACGCUGCCACGGGGCUGUGACCCAGCGUGACCCUCGCCCCCGACCCCCAGCACAGGCAGACAGAGCACCCCCAGGUGCCCUGAUCCCAGCCAGGUUCUCAGGCUCAGAGAGCUUCCCCGGCUUCUCAGACAAAGUCCCAAGUUCAAGUCCGCGCUGACGGGCUUUGCCAUGGGAUUCUCAGCUCCUUUCCAUCCCCGCCUUUUGUUCGCCUCUGACAAUUGCUCUUUAUUCCCCCCCUCGCCCCCGCCCGCCCUCCCUCCCUUCUGUACUUGGCACCGUUUAGCAGCCUGACUGCAAACUUAACAACCCUGGUUCUUGGUAAAAGCACUCAAAUUACCCUUCUUUCUACAUAUAUACAUUUCCCGGGGAGUGCGCGUCUCCCUGCUACAAGGGCUCAGGGGUGCCAUGCCUGUCCCCUAGUGCACGACCCAGAGUCCCUUCACACGGGAACUCAGGGGCUUGCUCUCAAAGUUAAGCUUCCAAAGCCCCUAGAGACAACUUGCUGCUAAAGUCUGUAAGACACUGUGCUAGCAGGAGGAGAGAAUAAGCCUGAAAGAUUCAGCAGCUCUUCUCUCUGGGGCUUCCCAAAGCCAAGGCAGACGCGGGACUGCGCUCAGCUCUGUUCUCUCCAGUUUCUAAGGAGCCACAUGCUAGAGGGACAAGACCUGCAAUGUGGAGGGGAACCCUGGAACAGAGAACUAGUCCAGGAUCGGAUACUACCUAAAGAAAGAUACCCAGUGGCACCUGCCAUAGGUGCUGAUGAUGGGUCAAGCACCACACUAAGCACAGCGCUGACCUUCAGAAGUGCCAGGCAGAGCAUGUAGAAGAUCGGACACUUUUAGAGAGAUGACCACUACCCCAGUGCAUGGGACGGAAGAGGGAGCAACCAACAGAAGCUGUUGUAAAUGCAGCCAUCUAAGAGAGAAGGCAAACCUAGCAGCCAGACUGUCUGUGAGGAUGUGGGACAAGCAUGUAGUGUGUGGAGCCUGCACCGAGAAGCCCUGUAGCACACCCCUCACCCUAGCCACGGAAAGAGAAUUAGUCACAUGAGAGUGGGGGGGCACACUAGGCAGAAGUGUUAGAGUCUGGUGUGCAGUCACAUGUCCGAGACUCUGUGAUGCUGGCAAACCAGGUGCCAGCCUAUACCAAGGUCCCCAUGCCUCACUUGGAUCCUGACAAACACAGAGCUGGAAUCAGCCUGGCUUACUGUUAAAACAGGGAUUAGAAUGAUAAAAAAAAAUGUCCUGAGGGUAUAGACUUCAUGGAAUGCUUGUAAAUUGCUGCUUGCAUUAAUCUCACUUAUAACAUCUGUCUCCCGGUAAUAUUUGAGUGUUUGCAUUGCAAGCCUCUGUGACUGUGGAAAUCACCAGACAGGAGAGAAGCAUUAUCUAGUGUAAAAUACCAGUCUCCAACAGGUGUUAUGUCCUGCCUGACAAAAAAGGCCCAUCAACAGCAGACGAACUAUUGCAGAACAUCAGUGGACAAAAGGGUUUGUUGCUUGCUUUCCCCCACACCUCAGGAAGAGGAAAGGUGCAAGUGAAUUCCUCCCAUUAGCCGAGUUUGCAACUCGAAGCAGAAGGGGGGGAAGGAAUAAAAACCCUUCACAAGGAGGAACUGUAGUUUUAUGCUGCUUGGAGUCUGAGGGGCAAAGAUUACUAAGCAUAACCAAAAGAUCCCCCUGAGUUAGCCCUAAAGGACACAGAGAGCUUGCUUAUCAUAGAAGCUUCUAUUACUUUUUGAAACUUAAGAUUGGAACUCAUUUGUGUGUAUAUAUGUUUACCUGCUUUAACCCUGUAAAUAACUCCCAUUUCCUUUUCCUACUUAAUAAAUCUUUAGAUAGUUUAUUAUA